Long non-coding RNA from Humulus lupulus (European hop), 878 nucleotides. RefSeq lists it as uncharacterized. NCBI's taxonomy places the organism in Eukaryota, Viridiplantae, Streptophyta, Magnoliopsida, Rosales, Cannabaceae. The transcript is spliced from 3 exons. The record is from RefSeq and is a predicted model, not a curated record.
UAAGUUCAGAGGCUGCAAGUUGCUAGGUUAUUGUGAGAGUGUAAACACUUGGGUUGGGGAUUAUAAGCUUGAUCAUCAUAAGCUUAUCAAACACUUUGGGAAGUGAGGUUCGUUAGUAUCUCGGUUGUGGUUAGAUUGGUCUUUCAAGUCUUUGAGGAAAUCUAAGCUCUUGAGCACAUAAGUUUUGGAGUGUUCCAAAAAGUCCCAACUCAGUCCACAUAUCCCGGUAACUUUGGUAAGGAAAAUAGGCUAGAAUCAAUAUGUUUAUGUUUAUGUUAUCUUAUGUGUUAUGUUAUGAUAUGUUAUGAAUAUGUUAUGAUUGUGUAUGUUUGUAGGCUUGGGCUUAUGCCCUAUUUGACUAACAAGACCCCAAAAAGAUUGUGGGCAUAAGCCUAUUUAGCUGGUAGGACCCCACUAAUCUCAUGGGCAUAAGCUUGUUUAGUCUAUGGGACCCCAAGUAAUAAUGGCCAUUAUAAUAAGUGUAUUAUGUGUUAUGAUAUGUCUUUAUGUUUAUUACGAAAUUUAUGUUUAUGACUAUGUGUUAUGACUAUGUGUUAGAUUUUCCUUGCUGGGCAUUAGGCUCAUUCCUUUCUGUUUAUGUGCAGGAAAAUAAGCUUUAGAGGCAGUAAGAUUCGUGACGCUUAGAGGAUGUGUAUCGAUGGUGGAUGGAGUCAAGGAGCCGAGCGUUAUUCGAUUCGAGGAUGUAGUCUUGUUUAUGUUUUUAUGGUUUUAAAUGUAUUUUCCACAUUUUCUAUGUAACUCUUUUUACUUUAAGUUAUUUUUGUUUUAAAGACAAUGGGUACCCAUAUCCUAUUUAUUUUAUGAAAGUAACCUUUGUUUCUACAAGUUUCUAAUAAAGUAUGGUAUUUCCGCAAAAA